GAUGAACGCUGGCGGCGUGCUUAACACAUGCAAGUCGAACGGGAAUUACUUUAUUGAAACUUCGGUCGAUUUAAUUUAAUUCUAGUGGCGGACGGGUGAGUAACGCGUGGGUAACCUGCCUUCUACAGGGGGAUAACAGUCAGAAAUGGCUGCUAAUACCGCAUAAGCGCACAGAGCUGCAUGGCUCAGUGUGAAAAACUCCGGUGGUAUAAGAUGGACCCGCGUUGGAUUAGCUAGUUGGUGGGGUAACGGCCCACCAAGGCGACGAUCCAUAGCCGGCCUGAGAGGGUGAACGGCCACAUUGGGACUGAGACACGGCCCAGACUCCUACGGGAGGCAGCAGUGGGGAAUAUUGCACAAUGGGGGAAACCCUGAUGCAGCGACGCCGCGUGAAGGAAGAAGUAUCUCGGUAUGUAAACUUUUAUCAGCAGGGAAGAUAAUGACGGUACCUGACUAAGAAGCCCCGGCUAACUACGUGCCAGCCGCCGCCGUAA
Molecule: ribosomal RNA, 494 nt
Filed under: uncultured bacterium
Lineage: Bacteria
Description: partial 16S ribosomal RNA
Rfam family: Bacterial small subunit ribosomal RNA
Source: RNAcentral